AGUUAAGCGUGCUUGGGCGAGAGUAGUACUAAGUUGGGUGACCACUUGGGAAGUCCUCGUGUUGCACCCU
RNAcentral lists this ribosomal RNA (70 nucleotides) under Cucumis melo (muskmelon). Lineage: Eukaryota; Viridiplantae; Streptophyta; Magnoliopsida; Cucurbitales; Cucurbitaceae. The record is from RNAcentral.